AGAGUUUGAUCCUGGCUCAGGGUUAACGCUGGCGGCGCGCAUAACACAUGCAAGUCGAGCGAGGGCUCUUCUCCCGCAAGGGAGGGGAGUUCCUAGCGGCGAACGGGUGAGUAACACGUGGGCAACCUUUCCUAUCGCGGGGGAUAACAGCGGGAAACCGCUGCUAAUACCGCAUGUCGUCACUGGUCGCAUGGCCGGUG
RNAcentral lists this ribosomal RNA (200 nucleotides) under uncultured bacterium. RNAcentral's name for it is "partial 16S ribosomal RNA". It matches the Rfam family "Bacterial small subunit ribosomal RNA", at positions 8 to 199 of the family's 1533-position model. The record is from RNAcentral.